RNAcentral lists this long non-coding RNA (2520 nucleotides) under Homo sapiens (human). RNAcentral's name for it is "HSALNT0072773". Lineage: Eukaryota; Metazoa; Chordata; Mammalia; Primates; Hominidae. The record is from RNAcentral.
UGUGUCUUUACUUUGCACUAUGCAAGUGUCCUGCUGUUAUGAUAAGAAGUAAUAGAGUAAACUUGUAACCUAGCCAUUGGAGGUUGCCCCAAAGACAAGGCAGAAACAAUAACAUGAAAAUGUUUAGAGCAGUAUUUUGUUGAUCAUGCCAGAUUCCUGUCCCACCCCAAGAGAUCACACAUCUAGAAGGAUGGAUUGGAUCUUCUGUCAUGGAGGAUAAUACAAGAAGUGUGUUUAUUUAACAUUUCAUAAUUGGUCUAAGGGCUACAAUAUCUUCAUGUCACCUCAUAACCUCCCCAUAGUGAGUCUUUCACAGUGAAUGACUAUUUGUUUGUAGGAUUAGAGAACUUCAAUCUUGCAAACAUCAGCAGAAUCUAGUUCAUGCAAUUCUUUGGACUCUGGAGGCCAGUAGGUGUUCCAAGUUUAGGUGCAGGUGUGAUGAUUCCAUAUGGGGUAGCAAAAAAACAAACAAACAAAAUCAGAGUAGAAUGUAAUUAUCCUAACAUCCCGGUCUAUGCCAUAUAGAGACCAAGCAAUUCAAAUGUGCAGACUCCUUGUGGUAACUUGUGGACUCAAAUGCAUUCUUAAGCUUGAGAGCAGAGGAAGGCAAAAACCAGACCGAUUCACCUAUCACAUGUUUCCUUUCCCAGGCUCAUUCAUUUGUGUCAGUGAGGACUGAGGAAUGAUGAGAAUUAAAAUCAUGGUUACUUGGAGGUGAAAGUUGUAAGACAAAGAGUAUGUGGGAAGAAUGAAAAUAACAGUUCUAUUGAAACAAGGAAUGAAAACUCUGCCCCUAAGCUGACAUGGUUUAUGACUGACGAUGUCACCAAAUUGUGGAGAAGCACUCAUUAACAUAACUGAACAAUAGUUUUGAAAGCUCUUGUACAAGAUACAAGUAGCCAUAAGACUUACUGGCCUGGUGUGUGGAGACUUCAGAGGAGGUAGGGCAACUCUUCUAGGUGCCAUGAGCAAGCCCCAUUAAACUAAAGAAAUCAAAUCACCUCAUUCUUAAAGUCUUGAGAAGAUGAGAUAAACUUAAAAGCUUUCAACUGUGAAAGAACAGAAACAAAGCUCGCUGGAGAGAUGGGAUCUGAAUAGUCAAAUCAUUUUGAAUAGGCACUAUGUACUUGGGAACUUCUGCAUGAGCAAGUGAUUCUUGGAUAUUCCUGUAAAUCCAUUCUGAAUAUGACAAUGAAACUAAAGCCCCCAAAAGCCAAAAGAAACUGCCCAAGGUGACAUAGCUGCUGAGUGAUGGAAUGGGGACUAGAUCAAACUCUAAAAUCAAAGAGCAUGCUCACAAUUACCCAUUAAGAGAACUAAAGGAAACAAAAUUCUCCAAUCUAUUCUCCCUGUGCACAUUAAAAUUAAAACAAUGGUGUUGCAUUUUUCAAACAGUUAUGUACUGAUAUUAUACCAAGAUGCAAGCACGGGUGGAUUCCUUAAUUGUAAUAGGUAUAAGUAAUAUAAUGCUAAAAUGCAAAUUUUGAAUCCCAUUCUGUCUUCCAACUAUUAUCUCUGCCAAAUUCUUUCACAAUUCUACAUUAAUACAUAUUACACAUUUUGGAAAAUUUAAUAUAUAAGGCUACUGUUUGUAUUAUAUUUGAAAUUAGUUAUGUUAGCCAUUAAUAUUUACACUGUUUCACGAUCCUAAAAAUAUCACUAUCUUGUCUUACUAAAAAAAAUUGAAAAUGGAGUCAUUAAAAAAAAGUGAAAAAAAAACCUCUCAAAGAGUAAAAAAUCUAAAAGCUAUGCCUUUAGGAGGAGGUGAAAAUUAACUAGUGUCAUCUCAAGUAUGAACACACAUGGCUUCUUCACACUUAAUUAGAAAACUAGAAGCACUUAAGCCAAAGCAUUCAAAAGAACAAUGUGUCAGAGUCAGAAUUAGUUAUAAUCGGUUAGCUUGUGCUAUUAACAUUGCCUAGCUUCUUUUCUGAGUCUACACAGUAGAUGUCUGUUUUUCUCUUUUUUUUUCCCCAACAUCUAAUUUAUCAAAAACUCAGCCCCAAUAAAAGACAUGGUUGUGUUACAGUGUUAUAUGAAAGAAAAAUACUUUGUUGGAGUUAGGGUUCCCCUAGUGACUAGUUAGUGAGCUUGAACAAGUGAAGUAAAUUCCAUAUGACUCAGUGAACCUCAUAUCUAUAGUAUGAAAAAAAAAAACCAUGGUACUUCUUUGUGUUCUUUUGUCACAGAUUAAUAUUUUAUUUUCUUACACAUAAAAUAAGUUUAGGAAAUAUUCAUUUAACCUGAAAUAUUAAUUUAAAAAAUGCAUUUGGUAUUACAGUUAUCCAUGUACUAAUUUGCCUGAACCUAGAGAAAAGUGUAAAAAGUGUUUACAAUUUUGAAAGUCCUAGUGGAAAGAUUUUGUUUUUACUUAGUUUUAUUUUAUUUUACUUUUUUUGUAAUUUUAUUUUUUUCACACCACAUAAAUACAAUGACACAGGAUACCAUUUUUACAGCUGUGCAUUGUAUACUCUUAAAUUAUAAACUUUUAAAUACAUUUUAAAUGAUAGAAAAGUAUAU